RNAcentral lists this ribosomal RNA (200 nucleotides) under uncultured bacterium. RNAcentral describes it as "partial 16S ribosomal RNA". It matches the Rfam family "Bacterial small subunit ribosomal RNA", at positions 29 to 256 of the family's 1533-position model. The record is from RNAcentral.
AAUGAACGCUGGCGGCAUGCCUAACACAUGCAAGUCGAACGAGACCUUCGGGUCUAGUGGCGCACGGGUGCGUAACGCGUGGGAAUCUGCCCUUGGGUUCGGAAUAACAGCUAGAAAUGGCUGCUAAUACCGGAUGAUGACGUAAGUCCAAAGAUUUAUCGCCCAGGGAUGAGCCCGCGUAGGAUUAGCUAGUUGGUGGG